RNAcentral lists this long non-coding RNA (648 nucleotides) under Marmota monax (woodchuck). The stretch from base 218 to 289 matches the Rfam family "tRNA". Lineage: Eukaryota; Metazoa; Chordata; Mammalia; Rodentia; Sciuridae. The record is from RNAcentral.
AAUCAGAUAAAGAUAAUACCUCUUUUAAAGUCACUGAACAGGUGGUACUCUCCAAAGUAAAAUGAAUCAGCUAAAAACUUGUUAACUCAUGUUUGCAUUCUAGUACCUGUUGUCCCUAAAAACAACACCAUUACUAACUUUCCAAUAGAGCAGCCCUGGCAUUUAUUCUCCUACUGCCAUGGCUCUAAAUGCUUCUGUGAAGCAGGUUUUCAUGGGUGGGGCUGUGGCUUGGUGGUAGAGCAUGUGCUCAGCAUGUGCGAGGGCCUGGGCUGGAUUCCCAGCAACCCGACCCCCACCCAAAUUAACAGUGGCCCACUUCAUGCUUUGAAUGUAGCACUUGCUGCAGUGCCCCUGAGGCUUGUCUUAAAAUUGAUGUGUUUUUUCCUCUUCUCCCUUUCCUAAAUUAACAAGUGAAUCAUAAUCCCCUUACAUGAAAUACCCAGAAUGUAUGUAGCCUGUGAAUGGCUUCUUUAAAAACACUCUGUUCUCCCUUAUGGGAAGAAUCACAGCUUUUGGAAGUUCCCUGUGCUUCUCCCUAGCUAGCAAAGCAAUAAACCUUCUUUUUCCUUUUCUCAAAACUACGUCCUUGUUAUUGAAUUGGCAUCAGGGACAAAGGACCAAGCUUUUGGUAACACCAUCCAAAAAUAA